UGGGGAAUAUUGGACAAUGGGCGCAAGCCUGAUCCAGCCAUGCCGCGUGAGUGAUGAAGGCCCUAGGGUUGUAAAGCUCUUUCACCGGUGAAGAUAAUGACGGUAACCGGAGAAGAAGCCCCGGCUACCUUCGUGCCAGCAGCCGCGGUAAUACGAAGGGGGCUAGCGUUGUUCGGAUUUACUGGGCGUAAAGCGCACGUAGGCGGACUUUUAAGUCAGGGGUGAAAUCCCGGGGCUCAACCCCGGAAAUGCCUUUGAUACUGGAAGUCUUGAGUAUGGUAGAGGUGAGUGGAAAUCCGAGUGUAGAGGUGAAAAUCGUAGAUAUUCGGAGGAACACCAGUGGCGAAGGCGGCUCACUGGGCCAUUACUGAAGCUGGGGUGCGAAAGCGUGGGGAGCAAAAAGG
This 404-nucleotide ribosomal RNA is filed under the name Actinomycetes bacterium. RNAcentral describes it as "Actinobacteria bacterium partial 16S ribosomal RNA". It matches the Rfam family "Bacterial small subunit ribosomal RNA", at positions 355 to 776 of the family's 1533-position model. The record is from RNAcentral. Lineage: Bacteria; Bacillati; Actinomycetota; Actinomycetes.